GACGAACGCUGGCGGCGUGCUUAACACAUGCAAGUCGAGCGGUAAGGCCCUUUCGGGGGUACACAAGCGGCGAACGGGUGAGUAACACGUGGGUGACCUGCCCUCAGCUCUGGGAUAAGCCUGGGAAACUGGGUCUAAUACCGGAUAUGACUCCAUGACGCAUGUUGUGGGGUGGAAAGCCUUGUGCGGCUGAGGAUGGGCCCGCGGCCUAUCAGCUUGUUGGUGGGGUGAGGCCUACCAAGGCGACGACGGGUAGCCGGCCUGAGAGGGCGACCGGCCACACUGGGACUGAGACACGGCCCAGACUCCUACGGGAGGCAGCAGUGGGGAAUCUUGCGCAAUGGGCGAAAGCCUGACGCAGCGACGCCGCGUGAGGGAUGAC
RNAcentral lists this ribosomal RNA (382 nucleotides) under uncultured bacterium. Its description in RNAcentral is "bacterial SSU rRNA". It matches the Rfam family "Bacterial small subunit ribosomal RNA", at positions 28 to 412 of the family's 1533-position model. The record is from RNAcentral.